AUGAGAGGGCGGUCCCUUUGGCUUCCAAACCCUGUGGAAGGAUCUUCACGUACAUUGCGUGAUUCAUUCCUAACAGAGCCAAACACAUGCCAAGGAAGCUUGCCCUGGACCCUGAGGAUGCUUGGGGCCGGACCAGUGCUGCCCCUGCUGCCUGGAGACUGGCCACCAGGAGCAAAACUACAUCAAAAGGAACGUGUUGGGGACAACGUGGAGAGCCUUCAUCAGCUUCUCAAACAAGACGGUAAAGAGACGUGCGGUUGCUCUAUCUUCACAUCCCUGGAACCUAAAAGCUUCUCAAGUACCCAACCAGAGACAAU
RNAcentral lists this long non-coding RNA (317 nucleotides) under Vulpes vulpes (red fox). RNAcentral's name for it is "lncRNA (ENSVVUG00000027399.1)". The record is from RNAcentral. Lineage: Eukaryota; Metazoa; Chordata; Mammalia; Carnivora; Canidae.